AUAGUCAAAUUAACGAGAUUUAUCUAGAAAAACCACAGCCAAGGGACAGAACUUGGAAUUAUUUGCUGGUAAAGAAGACCCUGUUGAGCUUGACUCUAGUCUGACAGUUUAAGAAGUCAUAAGAGGCCUGCUAUCUACAAGGAAUACUACUCUUAUUGUCUUUUUAUAAAAUAUAAAUAUAAAUAUAAAAUAUUCAUUAUAUUUAUAUUGCAUUAUAAUAUAUCGAAUUUUGUUUUAAUACAAGUUUUUUGAUCCAAAGAGGUGUAAGGAAAGUUACCACAGGGAUAAUAGGCUUCUGGCGACUAAGCUUUCAUAGCGACGUCGCUUUUUAAUCACUUGAUGUCGACUCUUUCUAUAAUUCUGAAGCAAAAUUCAACAAGAGCUGCAUUGUUCACCCAUACAAGGGAACGUAAGCUGAACUUAGAUUGUCGUGACAUUUUUCCUGCGUAGUGGCGAACAGUGGCGC
RNAcentral lists this non-coding RNA (466 nucleotides) under Megaselia scalaris. RNAcentral describes it as "Eukaryotic large subunit ribosomal RNA". It matches the Rfam family "Eukaryotic large subunit ribosomal RNA", at positions 1890 to 3014 of the family's 3401-position model. Lineage: Eukaryota; Metazoa; Arthropoda; Insecta; Diptera; Phoridae. The record is from Rfam by way of RNAcentral.